This is a non-coding RNA of Poecilia reticulata (guppy), 590 nucleotides long. Lineage: Eukaryota; Metazoa; Chordata; Actinopteri; Cyprinodontiformes; Poeciliidae. The record is from RefSeq and is a predicted model, not a curated record.
UCCAGGUGGCAACUCUGCUGCUGCUGCUGCUGCUGCUGCUCUGUGCUUCUCCACCUGCUCUCAGCUCUGCACAGAAACGACUGGAUCACCCACGGAGUGCGAACUCCAGUUCAGAGAUAGACAGGGAGUUUGUCCUGUGAGUGGUGGGAGGAUGCAUUUGCAUAUCUGCAAAUGCGGUCAGACUUCUGAGGACAGUUCGGCAUGGACACACGAAGCUGCACUCGGUUCUGCAUUCCGCGAGUACAUCAGAUGGUUAUCACAAGAAAUUCAUGGUUCCCGAUCAGGCGCCGUACAUUCAUCACAAAGAGGUACUAAAGGCGUUUCCCUGCUGCUUCACACCUGACCUAAUUGAACGGCUGGCUGCCAGGCUUCAGCAGCACUCGGGCGACAUGCUGAGGGAAGUAAUUCAAUCAUCUGAGUCAGGUGUGGCUGGAGCAAAGAGACAUCUGAAACAGGAAGGGCRGCCGGCCCCCCGGAGGACCAGGGCUGAGAAACGGUGCUCUGAAAGCACAGCAGGGCUCAUUUGCCUCAGUUAAGAUUUCCUGGCAGCUUUGGGAAGACGAGCAGCAAACGUUUCAGGGCCGGGAAGG